Molecule: transfer RNA, 76 nt
Filed under: bacterium ADurb.Bin243
Lineage: Bacteria
Description: tRNA-Pro
Rfam family: tRNA
About the family: Transfer RNA (tRNA) molecules are approximately 80 nucleotides in length. Their secondary structure includes four short double-helical elements and three loops (D, anti-codon, and T loops).
Source: RNAcentral
UCGGGGCGUAGCGCAGUUGGCUAGCGCACUUGUAUGGGGUGCAAGGGGUCGGAGGUUCAAGUCCUCUCGCCCCGAU